AGUGAACGCUGGCGGUAGGCCUAACACAUGCAAGUCGAACGGCAGCACAGUAAGAGCUUGCUCUUACGGGUGGCGAGUGGCGGACGGGUGAGGAAUACAUCGGAAUCUACUUUUUCGUGGGGGAUAACGUAGGGAAACUUACGCUAAUACCGCAUACGACCUACGGGUGAAAGCAGGGGAUCUUUGGACCUUGCGCGAUUGAAUGAGCCGAUGUCGGAUUAGCUAGUUGGCGGGGUAAAGGCCCACCAAGGCGACGACCCGUAGCUGGUCUGAGAGGAUGAUCAGCCACACUGGAACUGAGACACGGUCCAGACUCCUACGGGAGGCAGCAGUGGGGAAUAUUGGACAAUGGGCGCAAGCCUGAUCCAGCCAUACCGCGUGGGUGAAGAAGGCCUUCGGGUUGUAAAGCCCUUUUGUUGGGAAAGAAAAGCAGCAGGUUAAUACCCCGCUGUUCUGACGGUACCCAAAGAAUAAGCACCGGCUAACUUCGUG
RNAcentral lists this ribosomal RNA (492 nucleotides) under uncultured bacterium. RNAcentral describes it as "partial 16S ribosomal RNA". It matches the Rfam family "Bacterial small subunit ribosomal RNA", at positions 29 to 507 of the family's 1533-position model. The record is from RNAcentral.